This 440-nucleotide ribosomal RNA is filed under the name uncultured bacterium. Its description in RNAcentral is "bacterial SSU rRNA". It matches the Rfam family "Bacterial small subunit ribosomal RNA", at positions 338 to 794 of the family's 1533-position model. The record is from RNAcentral.
CCUACGGGUGGCAGCAGUUAGGAAUUUUGGGCAAUGGGCGCAAGCCUGACCCAGCAACGCCGCGUGGGUGACGAAGGCCUUCGGGUCGUAAAGCCCUUUUCCACGGGAAGAUAAUGACGGUACCGUGGGAAUAAGCCCCGGCUAACUACGUGCCAGCAGCCGCGGUAAUACGUAGGGGGCGAGCGUUGUCCGGAUUUACUGGGCGUAAAACGCUUGUAGGUGGCCACGCCAAGUCGGAUGUGAAAUCUCCCGGCUUAACUGGGAGGGGUCAUUCGAUACUGGCGGGCUCGAGGCAGGUAGGGGGAAGCGGAAUUCCCGGUGUAGUGGUGGAAUGCGUAGAUAUCGGGAGGAACACCAGUGGCGAAGGCGGCUUCCUGGACCUGUUCUGACACUGAGGAGCGAAAGCGUGGGGAGCGAUCCGGAUUAGAUACCCUAGUAGU